GUCUACGGCCAUACCACCCUUAAUGUGCCCGAUCUCAUCUGCUCUCUGAAGGAAUACAGUCUAAGUCUCCUGUGGAUGGUAGGGACCUAACUACUUUAGCCGUUACCGUUGUGU
Ribosomal RNA from Ochotona princeps (American pika), 114 nucleotides. The record is from Ensembl. Lineage: Eukaryota; Metazoa; Chordata; Mammalia; Lagomorpha; Ochotonidae.